UAACACAUGCAAGUCGAGCGGAUGAGAGGAGCUUGCUCCUCGAUUCAGCGGCGGACGGGUGAGUAAUGCCUAGGAAUCUGCCUAGUAGUGGGGGACAACGUUUCGAAAGGAACGCUAAUACCGCAUACGUCCUACGGGAGAAAGUGGGGGAUCUUCGGACCUCACGCUAUUAGAUGAGCCUAGGUCGGAUUAGCUAGUUGGUAGGGUAAAGGCCUACCAAGGCGACGAUCCGUAACUGGUCUGAGAGGAUGAUCAGUCACACUGGAACUGAGACACGGUCCAGACUCCUACGGGAGGCAGCAGUGGGGAAUAUUGGACAAUGGGCGAAAGCCUGAUCCAGCCAUGCCGCGUGUGUGAAGAAGGCCUUCGGGUCGUAAAGCACUUUAAGUUGGGAGGAAGGGCUCAUAGCGAAUACCUGUGAGUUUUGACGUUACCAACAGAAUAAGCACCGGCUAACUUCGUGCCAGCAGCCGCGGUAAUACGAAGGGUGCAAGCGUUAAUCGGAAUUACUGGGCGUAAAGCGCGCGUAGGUGGCUUGAUAAGUUGGAUGUGAAAUCCCCGGGCUCAACCUGGGAACUGCAUCCAAAACUGUCUGGCUAGAGUGCGGUAGAGGGUAGUGGAAUUUCCAGUGUAGCGGUGAAAUGCGUAGAUAUUGGAAGGAACACCAGUGGCGAAGGCGACUACCUGGACUGACACUGACACUGA
This 705-nucleotide ribosomal RNA is filed under the name Pseudomonas sp. Its description in RNAcentral is "bacterial SSU rRNA". It matches the Rfam family "Bacterial small subunit ribosomal RNA", at positions 49 to 749 of the family's 1533-position model. The record is from RNAcentral. Lineage: Bacteria; Pseudomonadati; Pseudomonadota; Gammaproteobacteria; Pseudomonadales; Pseudomonadaceae.